This 453-nucleotide ribosomal RNA is filed under the name Dactylaria sp. RNAcentral's name for it is "eukaryotic LSU rRNA". The stretch from base 104 to 258 matches the Rfam family "5.8S ribosomal RNA". The record is from RNAcentral. Lineage: Eukaryota; Fungi; Ascomycota; Leotiomycetes; Helotiales.
GGUGCGGCCUGCGCAGGCCCUGUGGGCGCGUGGAGGACCUGCCGGGGGGACAACGCUAAACUCUAAUUUAACGUCGAGUCUGAGCAAAACACAAAUCGCUGCAAACUUUCACCAACGGAUCUCUUGGCUCUGGCCUAUAUGAGCAACGCAGACCAAUGCGAUAAGUAAUGUGAAUUGCCGAAUUCAGUGAAUCAUCGAAUCUUUGAACGCACAUUGCGCCCUCUGGUAUUCCGGAGGGGCAUGCCUGUUCGAGCGUCAUUUCAAACCUCAAGCCUCGGCUUGGUCUUGGGCACCGUCCGCAAGGACGCGCCAGAAACAUGUAGGCAGUGGUGCCCGUCUCCCAGCGUAGUCAAUCUACCCGCUUCGGAGCGCGCGGUGCCGCACGCCAGAUAACCCCCAAUUACUUCUAUGGUUUGACCUCGGAUCAGGUAGGGAUACCCGCUGAACUUAAGC